AUGGGUGCCCGGCUCCUGGGCAAUGUGAUGUUUUUCCUCCUCGGGGUAGGCCAUGGAGCAGCAGAAGUGACCCAGUCCCCCAGAUACCACAUCACGUUGCCCAAGAGGGAGCUGGAGUUGGAGUGUUCUCAGAGCACAAGCCACGACGUCAUGUACUGGUAUCGGCAAGACCCGGGGCUGGGCCUGAAGCUGAUCUACUACUCCCUUAAUGUUGGCUUAACUGAGAAGGGAGAUGGUUCUGAGGGAUACGAGGUCUCCCGAAUAUACAAGAAGAGUUUCCCCCUGACCCUGAAGUCAACCGCCCUGGAGCAGACCUCUCUGUACCUCUGUGCCAGCAGGGAGGACACAGCGUGGCACAGCUGGCGUCUCUCACACAAAAAGGGCAGCCACAAGGGAGGAGCUCCCCACCCCGGGACCAGCAUCCCACCCUCAGCACCCACCAAAGUCCCUCCCCGGUGCUGA
This is a non-coding RNA of Talpa occidentalis (Iberian mole), 462 nucleotides long. The record is from the annotation of a RefSeq genome assembly. NCBI's taxonomy places the organism in Eukaryota, Metazoa, Chordata, Mammalia, Eulipotyphla, Talpidae.